UGGUUUAUCUUAUCUGUCGAGGC
RNAcentral lists this microRNA (23 nucleotides) under Aedes aegypti (yellow fever mosquito). RNAcentral's name for it is "aae-miR-2940-5p". The record is from miRBase by way of RNAcentral. Lineage: Eukaryota; Metazoa; Arthropoda; Insecta; Diptera; Culicidae.